GAACGCCCCGCAAGGGGAGUGGCAGACGGGUGAGUAACGCGUGGGAACAUACCCUUUCCUGCGGAAUAGCUCCGGGAAACUGGAAUUAAUACCGCAUACGCCCUACGGGGGAAAGAUUUAUCGGGGAAGGAUUGGCCCGCGUUGGAUUAGCUAGUUGGUGGGGUAAAGGCCUACCAAGGCGACGAUCCAUAGCUGGUCUGAGAGGAUGAUCAGCCACAUUGGGACUGAGACACGGCCCAAACUCC
RNAcentral lists this ribosomal RNA (245 nucleotides) under uncultured Rhizobium sp. Its description in RNAcentral is "partial 16S ribosomal RNA". It matches the Rfam family "Bacterial small subunit ribosomal RNA", at positions 64 to 339 of the family's 1533-position model. The record is from RNAcentral. Lineage: Bacteria; Pseudomonadati; Pseudomonadota; Alphaproteobacteria; Hyphomicrobiales; Rhizobiaceae.